GAUGAACGCUGGCGGCGUGCCUAAUACAUGCAAGUCGAGCGAACAGACGAGGAGCUUGCUCCUCUGAGGUUAGCGGCGGACGGGUGAGUAACACGUGGAUAACCUACCUAUAAGACUGGGAUAACUUCGGGAAACCGGAGCUAAUACCGGAUAAUAUAUUGAACCGCAUGGUUCAAUAGUGAAAGACGGUUUUGCUGUCACUUAUAGAUGGAUCCGCGCCGCAUUAGCUAGUUGGUAAGGUAACGGCUUACCAAGGCAACGAUGCGUAGCCGACCUGAGAGGGUGAUCGGCCACACUGGAACUGAGACACGGUCCAGACUCCUACGGGAGGCAGCAGUAGGGAAUCUUCCGCAAUGGGCGAAAGCUUGACGGAGCAACGCCGCGUGAGUGAUGAAGGUCUUCGGAUCGUAAAACUCUGUUAUUAGGGAAGAACAAAUGUGUAAGUAACUAUGCACGUCUUGACGGUACCUAAUCAGAAAGCCACGGCUAACUACGUG
RNAcentral lists this ribosomal RNA (497 nucleotides) under uncultured bacterium. RNAcentral's name for it is "partial 16S ribosomal RNA". It matches the Rfam family "Bacterial small subunit ribosomal RNA", at positions 28 to 507 of the family's 1533-position model. The record is from RNAcentral.